UCUAAGGUCUAACCUGCCCAAUGAUGUAUAUUUAAUGGCCGCAGUAUUUUGACUGUGCAAAGGUAGCAUAAUCAUUAGUUUUUUAAUUGAAAGCUGGAAUGAAUGGUUUGAUGAGAAAAAGGCUGUCUUGUAUUAUAAUUUUAUUGAAAUUUAUUUUUAAGUAAAAAAGCUUAAAUAUGUUAAAAAGACGAGAAGACCCUAUAGAUUUUUAUAAAAUUAAUAUGUUUUAAUUUAAAGAUUUAGUAAAAUUUAAAUUUAUUUAUUAUUUAAUUGGGGUGAUUUAAAAAUUUAAGAAACUUUUUAUUUAUUUAAACAUUAAUUAAUGAAUUUUUGAUCUUAACAUUUAGAUUAUAAGACUAAAUUACCUUAGGGAUAACAGCGUAAUUUUUUUCAAGAGUUCUAAUCGAAAAAAGAGAUUGCGACCUCGAUGUUGGAUUAAAGUUAAGUUAUGGUGUAGAUGCUAUAAUAUAAGGUCUGUUCGACCUUUAAAUCUUUACA
This 498-nucleotide ribosomal RNA is filed under the name Endophloeus serratus. RNAcentral describes it as "partial 16S ribosomal RNA". It matches the Rfam family "Bacterial large subunit ribosomal RNA", at positions 1844 to 2600 of the family's 2925-position model. The record is from RNAcentral. Lineage: Eukaryota; Metazoa; Arthropoda; Insecta; Coleoptera; Zopheridae.